Molecule: non-coding RNA, 27 nt
Filed under: Mus musculus (house mouse)
Lineage: Eukaryota; Metazoa; Chordata; Mammalia; Rodentia; Muridae
Source: RNAcentral
UCAGUGUGUCAGACACGAGGCCAGGGC